UGGGCGAGGCACAGGUGUAGCUGGUCAGAAAAUGAAGCGUUCAGUUUAAGAGAGCCAGCUGGUAAAACAAGUUACCACAACGAAAACGAGCUACCUAACCAUGAAUUCGAAGCAACUUUUGGCAGCAGCUUUCUGUCUAGCUGCUGCUCUUAUUCUGGGAACAAAGGCACAGGAAAAUGCAAUGUUGCAAAUUCCCCCUUCAUUGGUGGAGUGUUAUAAUACGUCAUACUUUAUGAAUCGGGAUAAUCGUCUACCAGCCAAUAUGGACACGCUCAUUUCUCUUAUAGAAAAAGUAGAAAACAGCUACGCAGCUAGUUCAGGUGUACAAGCCGAUAUUCGAACCGUGUCGGUGUCCUUGCUGCAUCGUUUCCGUCAAGAUGGCAUUAAGAAGGCUGCUGGAAUAAAUGCAGCUGAUGGGGUAAUACCGUACAGUCCAACAGGCUUUCAGUUUCCGAAGUUGAAAAUUUUGCUCUCACGUCUAAUACCGGGAAACGCCAAUACCUUCCCCAACAGUUCAUUGACAAGAGUGGAGCGGUGCUCCCUCCAUUUUAUGCUAUCAAGCACAUUUGAUACAAGAACGCGCGGCGAUGAAAACAAUGUGUGCAAUCAACUAUCUCAGUAUCGAGCCCAGCGACUGCCAAGAUCCUUGAAAAAGGGGCAAGAAAAUAAUUUUAUAGGCUAUUCUGAAUGGCUGGAGGCUCGCUCGAAACGAGGACGAUCUUCCGACACAGUAUCAAGAUACGAACAAUUUGCAGAAUUAGACUACGAAUCCGACUGGGCUUAUGCCGGCCCUGAAACUAGCCAAUGCCCCGUCGAGGAUGGCUUAGUACGAACACGCUGGGGAACGAUUUCUGGAGGCACUCUGAUCGCCGGCAUUGCAGCUGGUGUCCAGCAGCAGACAGUACAAGUCAAUACCCUAUUGACCCGGUCUGCCCAGCGUCGCGCACGCAGACAGUCCCAGACAGGCAAUACCAUUGACAACAGGUGGGCGGCAACUUUGGCUGGGGAGUUGGCGGAAGUCACGUUGGUCCAACUACCAGUGACGAAUGGCAAUGCCGCUUCCGUUGGAGCUACCGGUGGAUGGAAUGACACAGUCCUACCCCAUUGGUACUUCUUAUCGCAGCGCAACAACCUUGAGGCCACCGAUGCCGAGAUCCGUGGUGGCCUUGACGGUCUGAUUCUGGCUAAGAAUGUGGCAAGUUGGAGGACUCAAGCAUCAAGCCUUAAACUUUCCCAACUGCUGCGCAUGUACUACUCAACAAAUGGUGUUCUUAGUUCCGGGAUCAAUGCCUGCAGUAGGCAAAAUCAAUUCACAAAUGUGGCUCCCUCGCAGGAAAUGGAGGACCAGACCAAUGCAUUUGCCUUAGUACUGGAUCGUGGGAUGCAGCUACGUGUCACCCUCCAGCCUUCUCUUAUUUCCCAAUUUGCUGGUAACGCCACCGCAUCUCUGGUGACGUAUGUGCCACAAUCGUUAAACGACGUCUCUUGUAUGGCCACCAGUAAUCUUGAUUUGACAGAUGCCAUAACUCCAAUGAUUAACCUGUACCUUUUCUUGGAUACUUCUUGGCAAUACAGCACCAUUGUUGACUAUGUAGCUUAUGUUAUCCAGCAGCUUAAUAUUCACCCCUAUGCCAGCACAAUCACAAUGCUUUCAGCACAAGAUGGAUCGAUUAUCGUAAACACCACAAACUAUAUUAUGGAUGUCUAUCAGCAAUGGAAUGCAACUACACAGGCUACUUAUACUCAGGGAUUCAACCUUCCUAAUGUUUUGCGUACAAUUCAGAACCUAACCCAGAACUUAAUGAAUGAAGAAAAGACUAAUUCGAGCCUAAGUGGUCACUCACUAGUAGCUCUAAUCAUUCCGAAUCAGUAAACGGUGAAUGAUGGGGACUCCAGCUACGCCACUACAGAAAUUCAGUAUAUUAAGGAACAAAUUCCAGACCUGCGUUUUAUAUACUAUGGUGGUGGAAGUAUUCAGCGGUUUUCAAGCUUUGUCCGAGAUCCAACUCAAGACCUUUUCUCUCUCACGUUGGGCAGUACACCGGCGACAUCAGCGGGACCCGUGGCAAAACGCAUUGUCCAAAUUCCCCGUCGCAUUAUUAAUCCACGUUGUGGAUCAAGUUGGUACACAAAUAGCUGGGGUACUGAUCAAACAGACCAAUAUGUGGGGCCUGGAAAGGUGAACUUUUACCGAGUUUCUGCAAACUAUUUCUUUGGAACUGGUGCCAACCGGUAUUUGACCAUUCAAUCUCAGAAUGGAGGAACUUAUACUAUAUGUACUUCACGUACAUAUGCAUGGCCGCAACAGAACUCAACGACUCUUUCUACAGCAAACUCGAUAGAUCAGAGUUGCACACAAAUAAGUGGAAAUAGUUAUAGCUACGAUCUUUCAAGUGCCUGUGAGGGAUACUACACUAUCACCCAGUGUCCAGACUUGUAUUUGUCAGUCCAAGCUACAUCAAACACCACGUCCUGUAUACAGGAUGCUUGCCAGACCCCUGACCAAUGGCGGUUUAUAAUGUCAAUGGUCAACAUGGGAUGCUACAGCGGUGUUUCGGGUCUAGCAGCCAGCCUGCUAAUAACUCUAUUCGCAUUGUUAGCUAUAAAGCUGAUUCAAUAAUUGGUAACUAGAGUAUGGUAGUAUUAGUGGUACUGCCGCAGGUUUUAAAGCAUAAGUCAAGUCUUCUUACACAAACAACUAUUUUUUCGUUUUGCAUUAAUCUUUUAUUUUUUCGUAAUUAAUGUCCUAAAUAAAUGUCCUAAAUAUAAA
This is an RNA transcript of Drosophila erecta, 2770 nucleotides long. RefSeq lists it as uncharacterized. The transcript has 7 exons. The record is from RefSeq and is a predicted model, not a curated record. Lineage: Eukaryota; Metazoa; Arthropoda; Insecta; Diptera; Drosophilidae.